This 74-nucleotide transfer RNA is filed under the name Escherichia coli. RNAcentral describes it as "tRNA-Lys". It matches the Rfam family "tRNA". Rfam says of the family: Transfer RNA (tRNA) molecules are approximately 80 nucleotides in length. Their secondary structure includes four short double-helical elements and three loops (D, anti-codon, and T loops). Further hydrogen bonds mediate the characteristic L-shaped molecular structure. tRNAs have two regions of fundamental functional importance: the anti-codon, which is responsible for specific mRNA codon recognition, and the 3' end, to which the tRNAs corresponding amino acid is attached (by aminoacyl-tRNA synthetases). tRNAs cope with the degeneracy of the genetic code in two manners: having more than one tRNA (with a specific anti-codon) for a particular amino acid; and 'wobble' base-pairing, i.e. permitting non-standard base-pairing at the 3rd anti-codon position. Lineage: Bacteria; Pseudomonadati; Pseudomonadota; Gammaproteobacteria; Enterobacterales; Enterobacteriaceae. The record is from RNAcentral.
GUAGUUAGAUAAGUUGGUAGAGCAGUUGACUUUUAAUCAAUUGGUCGCAGGUUCGAAUCCUGCACGACCCACCA